CUGGCAUGAAGGACUCCUCUGGUAAACACGUCGUCUCUGGUAAAGGCGUCUCCUCUGGCGAUGGUGACUUUUCCGGCGCGGAUGACUCCUCUGGAGAAGAGGGCUCCUCUGUCAAGAAUGACUUCUCUGGUGCGGAUGACUCCUCUGGCUAGAGUCAUUCCUCUGAUGGAUGAAAUCCUUCUGGUAAAAAUGGUUCUUCUGACCCAUACGGCUCCUCUGAUGAGAGUGAUUCCUCUGAUUUGUACUCUCUCCCUACUCUGCAUAUAUUGCUCCUCACCAACA
This 282-nucleotide long non-coding RNA is filed under the name Salvia miltiorrhiza (redroot sage). Its description in RNAcentral is "long non-coding RNA (SMIL_LNC013108)". The record is from RNAcentral. Lineage: Eukaryota; Viridiplantae; Streptophyta; Magnoliopsida; Lamiales; Lamiaceae.